UGAAAACCACGAAACGUUGGAACCAUUCCCAAACAAUGGAGAACAGUCAUCCAAGUAAGUUCAGCUUUGUCAAUGUCAGAGAUGAAUACGGAAGGACCUUUUCUUCGGCCAACUGCGAGAUAUGAUUCAUGUUAGGUGCCUGCGUUCCUACGUGCAUAAAUUCUAGUGCACACCUUUAGUUCCUAAAAAGUAAAAUCAGAAGGAUAAUAGCAUCCAACGCUG
This 222-nucleotide long non-coding RNA is filed under the name Phoenix dactylifera (date palm). RNAcentral describes it as "long non-coding RNA (PDAC_LNC022870)". Lineage: Eukaryota; Viridiplantae; Streptophyta; Magnoliopsida; Arecales; Arecaceae. The record is from RNAcentral.